CCGAGUUAUCAACUCCCAAACCCCAAUGUGAACAUACCCAUUGUUGCUUCGGCGGAACGCCCCGGCGCCCUCGCGGCCCGGACCCAGGCGCCCGCCGGAGGCCCCAAACUCUUGUUUCCCCAGCGGCAUCUCCUCUGAGUGGCAUAAACAAUGAAUAA
Molecule: unclassified non-coding RNA, 158 nt
Filed under: uncultured Myrothecium
Lineage: Eukaryota; Fungi; Ascomycota; Sordariomycetes; Hypocreales
Description: sequence contains ITS1
Source: RNAcentral